Molecule: long non-coding RNA, 711 nt
Filed under: Nothobranchius furzeri (turquoise killifish)
Lineage: Eukaryota; Metazoa; Chordata; Actinopteri; Cyprinodontiformes; Nothobranchiidae
Description: lncRNA (ENSNFUG00015005137.1)
Source: RNAcentral
AUGAAGACUUUGUGUGUUGCUGUUGUUGCACUGAGUCUCAUCUCAGCAUGUCGGCCUUCAUCGUUGGCCUGUGAAAUGUUGCUGCAACCAAUGGAUCAAGAUCCAGAGGUACUUGGGAGAUGGUACGUUAUAGCUUUGUCCUCAAACUACUGCUGGGUAGCGUCAAUGUUCAAUACUGUCCUUGCUCCAAGUAUUCAACUGGAUGUUACCUCAGCUGGAAAACCACACUACUAUGACGUCAACUUUACAUUAAAAGUAUCUGAGUUUUGUGACAGUAAAAGCAUACAAUUCUUCCAAAAGAGCAACAUGGCAGUUGAAGUUCGAUCCAUCGACGAUGUCCCAAAGACUCAAAAAGGUGCGAUUAUUUCCAGUCGAUGUCAAGACUGCCUUGUCAUCAGAGAGGAUGGCUUAGUUAACAUGGUUGCUCUUCUCAGUAAAAGACCAAACGUCACCUCAGCAGAGAUGAAAGAGUUUGAGGUGCAAGCAGAUUGUCUGGGCAUGUACAGACCUCAAGUCCUGAACGCUGAUUUCGAUUUAGAAAACUGCAAACCUUUGACAAAUGUGGAGGUUGAUGAAAAAUUUGCCGCUCAUAUUCCAGUCAGAGUGAGGAACAUGUUCUCAGGACUCUUCACGUGUACUUCAGAAAAACUCCUUUAUUAUCCCCGUGCUAUCUUUGGAUGGGCUCAACACACGUUGAGCAAUAUUUGGUAA